Long non-coding RNA from Caretta caretta (loggerhead turtle), 1627 nucleotides. RefSeq lists it as uncharacterized. NCBI's taxonomy places the organism in Eukaryota, Metazoa, Chordata, Testudines, Cheloniidae. The record is from RefSeq and is a predicted model, not a curated record.
AGCUCCUCUUACCUCACGGGGACUCGCCCGGCUCGGCCCCGCCGCCGCCCGCGAGCAGAGGCAGCGGGCGCACGGCCGCCCCGGUCGGUGCAGCAGGCGGGGGACGCCCUGGCAUUCACCCUGCCUGCCGGAGCAGCAAAUCUUCGCAGCCUCCGCCGUGCGCUCCGAAGCGGCGGCGUCAGCCGGGGAGCCGCCUGCUGCUCACCCGAGGGAUCGCAGCCCCGGCCGCCCGGUGCCGCCCGCUGGGAAAUCCGGCCCUCGCGCUCCGGGAGAGGCUGUGCUGGGGCCCGCACCCGUGGGGACUGGAGCGGGGAGGGGGAAGGGAACAGCAGGGUAGCCUUGCUAGUAAGGAAGGAAGCCGCUGGGGGCAGAGAUUGGAGUGGAGGACAGCGCCGCUGACGAGGGAGAGGGAGAAACUAAGAGCUGGCAGCGUGGCGAGCUCAGCAACACUGGUGACCAUGCAGUCCUAGAAUUGCAAAUGAGCUCCAGCAUGGACCGAAAGGGAGACACUGGAUCUGAUCGCUGGAUGGGGAGAAGAAUCUGUGCAGGCAGAACUCCGAUCCAAAAGAAGAAAUGCAAAUAUGUUUACCAAAAUCUCACAGGGCAUGUUGGACAGAGGCUACACCAGGGACAUACAGCAGUGCCGCGUGGCGUGAAAGUUAAGGAGCUCAGGCAAGCCUAAAGGACAAUGGAGGCAAACGGUCGCUUCGGCUCAGAGCCCCAUGCAUGCAGCUGUUCAUAGAAGCAGCAUGCCAUUCUACGGGGGACCCUACCACUAUCCCACCCCUGUCUGUGGACACCUGCAAGGGGGGAGUCUCACGUCGCAUGGAGGAGGAUUUUGUGGAUGAGGAAGAGGAGGAGGAUGAAGAGGAGGAGAAUGCGUAGCAGGCACGCGGUGAAUCCAUUCUCCCCAGCAUCCAGGACCUUUUCAUCACCCUGGAGCCAAUACCCUCCGAAGGCAGGAUCCCUGACCCUGAAGCCGGAGAAGGCACCCCUGGUGCAAAUGUUUCUACGCUCCCCCUGUCAUCUCUGUCCCUGAAGUUAUCGCAGAUUAGAAAGUGAAAAUAGUGCACUCGCAAUGACAUGUUUUCCGAGCUUAUGCAGUCCUCCCUCACUGUUAGGGCACAGCUUAAUGCAUGGAGGCUUUCAGUGGCAGAGGCCGGGAAAGAAUAAAGUAAGUGAAAAGAGCAGAGGCAGGACGCGAUGCUGAAGCUAAGCGGGGAGCAAACGGACAUGAUGAAGCGUCUGUUGGGGGAGCAAACGGACAUGAUGAAGCGUCUGUUGGGGGAGCAAACGGACAUGAUGAAGCGUCUGUUGGAGCUGCAGAAAAGCCAACAAGAGCACAGACCCCCGCUGCAUCCUCUGUAUAACCACCUACCCUCCUCCCCAUGUUCCAUAGCCUCCUCACCCAGAUGCCCAAGAAUGCGGGUGGAGACGCUCCAGGCACCCAGCCACUCCAGAGGAUGGCCCAAGCAACAGAAGGCUGUCAUUCAGUUUGAUUUUUAGUGUGGCUACAAUAAAUAAUGUGGCCUUGUUCUUCCGUCCUCCCCCACCCACCCGGGCUACCUUGGUUGCUAUCUCUUUUAUUUUCUUCUUCUUCUUUUUUCUUUAAAUUAAUAAAGAAAGA